This 428-nucleotide ribosomal RNA is filed under the name uncultured bacterium. RNAcentral's name for it is "bacterial SSU rRNA". It matches the Rfam family "Bacterial small subunit ribosomal RNA", at positions 355 to 774 of the family's 1533-position model. The record is from RNAcentral.
UGGGGAAUAUUGGACAAUGGGCGGAAGCCUGAUCCAGCCAUGCCGCGUGUGUGAAGAAGGCCUUAUGGUUGUAAAGCACUUUAAGCGGGGAGGAGGCUCUUGAGGAUAAUACCCUUGAUGAGUGGACGUUACCCGCAGAAUAAGCACCGGCUAACUCUGUGCCAGCAGCCGCGGUAAUACAGAGGGUGCGAGCGUUAAUCGGAUUUACUGGGCGUAAAGCGUGCGUAGGCGGCUGAAUAAGUCGGAUGUGAAAUCCCCGAGCUUAACUUGGGAAUUGCAUACGAUACUGUUUAGCUAGAGUAUGGGAGAGGAUGGUAGAAUUCCAGGUGUAGCGGUGAAAUGCGUAGAGAUCUGGAGGAAUACCGAUGGCGAAGGCAGCCAUCUGGCCUAAUACUGACGCUGAGGUACGAAAGCAUGGGGAGCAAACA